Molecule: transfer RNA, 76 nt
Filed under: Subdoligranulum variabile
Lineage: Bacteria; Bacillati; Bacillota; Clostridia; Eubacteriales; Oscillospiraceae
Also listed under: 17 other names
Description: tRNA-Ala
Rfam family: tRNA
About the family: Transfer RNA (tRNA) molecules are approximately 80 nucleotides in length. Their secondary structure includes four short double-helical elements and three loops (D, anti-codon, and T loops).
Source: RNAcentral
GGGCCUGUAGCGCAGUUGGGAGCGCAUCACAUUCGCAUUGUGGGGGUCGUCGGUUCGAAUCCGAUCAGGUCCACCA